GCCCCAGCGAUGCAGGCCCCGGGCCGGCCGCGGCGCCGUUGACCUGGGCCGGGAACGCUGGGCACUUACGUCGCACCUUUAGCGGCCGGUCCGGAGCAGCGGCCCCUCGGGCUGCGAGGCGUCGGCAGUGGCCCCUCCCCGGUCCGCGGCUCUUCCCUGGCCGCCCGCGGCCGGGAUCCGCCGCUGCGAGCGCGGGCCGCGGCCACGUCCGUAGCGUCAUCCCCGCAUCCCUCAAGAUCGCUCACUGCCAACACAACCCCGAGAGAUGGCGCAGGUGAGCAGGCUCUCCUUCUUAGCACAUUCAGCAAGAACGCGCAAGGAAGCUAAGGACCUCUGUUCGUUGUCCUCUCCAAACAUGGGAGCCAAAGCACGGACUAUAACACCUGCGAGCCUGCUGAUCCACGCCCAGCUGCAACUUCAGUUCCCAGGACAGCAAAAUUCUAAAUUAAGCACUUCAUUUUCUGUUUUAAAGUUCAAAUCUGUUAUACAACAUGUAUGAUUUAUCCAUGCUCUGGGAGUCUUUAAUAACACUUCGUGUUUGUACAGAGGG
This 550-nucleotide long non-coding RNA is filed under the name Sus scrofa (pig). RNAcentral describes it as "lncRNA (ENSSSCG00035004486.1)". Lineage: Eukaryota; Metazoa; Chordata; Mammalia; Artiodactyla; Suidae. The record is from RNAcentral.